This is a long non-coding RNA of Cryptomeria japonica (Japanese cedar), 1273 nucleotides long. RefSeq lists it as uncharacterized. Lineage: Eukaryota; Viridiplantae; Streptophyta; Pinopsida; Cupressales; Cupressaceae. The record is from RefSeq and is a predicted model, not a curated record. The transcript is spliced from 3 exons.
UCUGGAAAGUACGAUACUUAAAAUGUUCGCAUUCAUGACAGGAAAUGAUUGUCCAAUUUCUGUUUUUUCUUAUGCUACAGCCUAUCCAAGGCACUGUCAUCUCCCUGUGCACAGACACAGCAAAUGUGGUGAACUGGCCUGUAUAUAUACCGUUUUCGUCCGGAUGUCUUUCACAAAGUUGUUUUUUGGAAGUCGAGGAGGAUAUUACGUGCAAAUAUGUUAAAAAACAAAAGCACAAUGAUUUUUUGUUUUAAAAUCGCUGUAUAUUAGAGGCAACUUUCUAUAUCAGUUUUACUCAAUUGCAUGUAGAUUUUUAUUUAAAGAAGAGACAUUACUCAUAUUUUCUCAUCAACAUUGCCAAAAGCUCUUGAAUUCCCUGGGCGUCGUGCUACAGAAUAUCUGACGACCUAAAAGUUGAAUGCUCCUGGAUCUUCUCGCUCCAUCGAUGUCUGCCCAUCAAGGAUUUUGAAGACUGACUUCACAGUUUCAGAGGCAAUUUCAGGGUCCAGGUCUUCUAUUAUAGACAUCGGAUACCAGUGAUUUAUCAUAGAGAGGCACAACUUACAAACAUAGUUUCAGGAUUUCAAGCACAAAUUUGAAUUGAGAAGCAACAACUCCAGUAUUCUGCAUUUUAAUCCACAGCCAGCGGAAGAAAGGACCAUUCAUAAAAAAGUCGUUGCGAAUCAUAAUCAGCUGGACAUUCAAUUUUGCAAAAAAAGAAACGUAAAUUUGGGCACCAGACGUCUGGGUUCGCCCCAAACGAACCAGAUUGUCUAGGCACGAACCUUGGCCGAACCCAAAGGUGAACCGGACCAAGACCUGAACCUGAACCGGACCGAACCAGUACCAGGCCGUGAUCUUGGCGAACCCUGCAACUUAGCUUUUUAUUAAAUUGUCAAGUUUUGGGUAAAGCUUGUUUCACAGAAUUCGAGUCAGGUUCAGAAGCCAGCACAUGAAGAGGAUCAAGAAAUCUUUCCCUUUUAUGCACUGGUUAUGUGGUAUUUGUUUCAAUAGAAGUUCAAGAAUAUGAGAUGUAAAAACAGAAUUUGUACUUGCUUUCUCUUCCUUGAAAUUUUUGAAAGCCAAACAUAAUAAUUCGUAUCAUAUCCCACGCACUGACCAAUUUGAAAAUUCAUUGAUUGAUGACACACCUUUUGCACUUACAGUUCAUCCAUCCAUUAGAAACAAAAUCUCUCCACAUUAUGGAUAGAUGACACAAAAUGCCCCGAAUAAAGAAAGAUACUCCUGGUAUCUUAGGCAUAUUUUAGCAUUC